GUGGGGAAUAUUGGACAAUGGGGGGAACCCUGAUCCAGCCAUGCCGCGUGUGUGAAGAAGGCCUUUUGGUUGUAAAGCACUUUACGCGAGGAGGAGGCUACCGAGAUUAAUACUCUUGGAUAGUGGACGUUACUCGCAGAAUAAGCACCGGCUAACUCUGUGCCAGCAGCCGCGGUAAUACAGAGGGUGCAAGCGUUAAUCGGAUUUACUGGGCGUAAAGCGCGCGUAGGUGGCCAAUUAAGUCAAAUGUGAAAUCCCCGAGCUUAACUUGGGAAUUGCAUUCGAUACUGGUUGGCUAGAGUAUGGGAGAGGAUGGUAGAAUUCCAGGUGUAGCGGUGAAAUGCGUAGAGAUCUGGAGGAAUACCGAUGGCGAAGGCAGCCAUCUGGCCUAAUACUGACACUGAGGUGCGAAAGCAUGGGGAGCAAACAGGAUUAGAAACCCCGGUAGUCC
RNAcentral lists this ribosomal RNA (451 nucleotides) under uncultured bacterium. RNAcentral's name for it is "partial 16S ribosomal RNA". It matches the Rfam family "Bacterial small subunit ribosomal RNA", at positions 354 to 796 of the family's 1533-position model. The record is from RNAcentral.